Molecule: ribosomal RNA, 372 nt
Filed under: uncultured bacterium
Lineage: Bacteria
Description: bacterial SSU rRNA
Rfam family: Bacterial small subunit ribosomal RNA
Source: RNAcentral
AUUGGACGCUGGCGGAAUGCUUUACACAUGCAAGUCGAACGGCAGCACGGGGCAACCUGGUGGCGAGUGGCGAACGGGUGAGUAAUAUAUCGGAACGUGCCCAAUCGUGGGGGAUAACGUAGCGAAAGUUACGCUAAUACCGCAUACGAUCUACGGAUGAAAGCGGGGGGAUCGCAAGACCUCGCGCGAAUGGAGCGGCCGAUAUCAGAUUAGGUAGUUGGUGGGGUAAAGGCUCACCAAGCCAACGAUCUGUAGCUGGUCUGAGAGGACGACCAGCCACACUGGAACUGAGACACGGUCCAGACUCCUACGGGAGGCAGCAGUGGGGAAUUUUGGACAAUGGGCGCAAGCCUGAUCCAGCCAUUCCGCGUG